UUUGGAAUGCAGACCCGCCGGCACACAACAGCGUCACUGUAAAAUCAGUCUAUUUGAUACAGUCUGUGGUUACAGUGCGCAGGACGAUGAUGGUGUUGCAGAGACAGCCUGAGCCAAGCAGGGACAGAAGGCACUGCAGGCAUCAGAGUAUCUGACAGAGAAAGAGAGUGCACCUACUGUGGAGCAGGAAGAGGGAAACGAUGAGGGGGCCCCACCAACAGACUGAUGUCUGCCCUAUUUGUAAUACUGUGAUUUCAAUCAGCAGGCCCUGGGCAGAUGGAUUGUUUGCUGCUUACUUCAAUUAUGCAUCUGAUGGAAUUCCAGACAUCGUUUCACUACAUGUGACAUUUUCCCUCAGUCUUCAAUGCCGCACUCAUCUUUCUCAAGGACCACGACGCUGUCUUUGACAUGCUAUCACAGGAUCAAGGUAUGACAAUGGAGGUCUUUCAGUCAGUUGAUCCGCCACUUGGGCCCAGACUAUCUCAACAACUCUAGGGUGGAUUCCCAUGUACUUUUGUACCAACAUUCAUGGUCCCCAGAAGAUAAAUCCUACUGACAAUGAGUUCCUAACUCUAGUGCUACCAUGUGGUUGACAUU
Long non-coding RNA from Centropristis striata (black sea bass), 597 nucleotides. RefSeq lists it as uncharacterized. Lineage: Eukaryota; Metazoa; Chordata; Actinopteri; Perciformes; Serranidae. The transcript has 6 exons. The record is from RefSeq and is a predicted model, not a curated record.